This 822-nucleotide ribosomal RNA is filed under the name Triticum aestivum (bread wheat). Its description in RNAcentral is "partial small subunit ribosomal RNA". The record is from RNAcentral. Lineage: Eukaryota; Viridiplantae; Streptophyta; Magnoliopsida; Poales; Poaceae.
UACCUGCGGGCACAGAGAAAAGGAAAAGUAAAGGGGGAAAAGCUUUCCCCCCGUCUCUCCCUCGCUUUCCUCCUCCGCGAGCUCGCCGCCUCCCCUGCUCCGCUAAAAUCAGACCAAGUACCGCCACCGCUCUAGGGAGAGAGGAGCUCGAACUCUCAAGAGGGGCUAAGCAACCCAACAGGGCAACUACUACUUCUCAAACUAUUUCGUGAAAUGUUAAAGAUACACUUAUUAUUUCAGUUCAUGGACUUCUCUUUUAAUAGUAGACGACCGUCUUCCUUACAAAACUUUUCCUUUAAGUAGGGGAAUUGAGACUGGGGAUACAAGGAGUUCAUUUAGCAAUAAGCCAAAGACGAGUUCUUUCCACAGUGGUAGAACGGUACUAAGUCUAACGUUCAGUAGUCUUACAAGUUUCGGGCACAUCUGUUAAAGAACUAGAACACGCACACAGCAAUAGAUAAGUUACUUCGAGUGGGAAGGUAAAGAUUCUUCGUAAAGAAGAAGAGUAUAUAACAACUUUGCUAAAACUUACCAAGAUUAGUUCUCACACAACGAUUACGAAAGUUGUCACGAUUAUCACGAAAAGGGUACACCUCUUCGUUAUACCACCAGAUCGCACUUCUAAAAGAACCACCAGUUGUUCUGACCUCUAAGUAGGUAGGAAAUAAUCGAAGCAUAUCAAAAGUACUACACAAUCGAUAAAACUAUGUUGUCAUAAUAACCAGGUUCUUACAAGACUAAGUUACAUGAAAAAUCUGGCUAUUGAACAUAGUAGCGGGGACAUUGUCAAAAUCCAAGGAAAACAAUGACCUUACGAAAAGA